GAACGUGUGGCUCAGUGGUGACAGCUCUUUUACCGCUUCCAAGAGGCGUAGGUUCAAAUCCUACUACGUUCA
Molecule: transfer RNA, 72 nt
Filed under: Heliconius melpomene (postman butterfly)
Lineage: Eukaryota; Metazoa; Arthropoda; Insecta; Lepidoptera; Nymphalidae
Description: tRNA HMEL005546
Rfam family: tRNA
About the family: Transfer RNA (tRNA) molecules are approximately 80 nucleotides in length. Their secondary structure includes four short double-helical elements and three loops (D, anti-codon, and T loops).
Source: RNAcentral